Molecule: ribosomal RNA, 503 nt
Filed under: uncultured bacterium
Lineage: Bacteria
Description: bacterial SSU rRNA
Rfam family: Bacterial small subunit ribosomal RNA
Source: RNAcentral
UUCUGGCUCAGGAUGAACGCUGGCGGCGUGUUUAACACAUGCAAGUCGAGCGAGAUGUUUCUCAGUAGAUUCUUCGGAUGAUACAGAGUUACGGAAAGCGGCGGACGGGUGAGUAACGCGUAGGCAACCUGCCCCUUGCAGAGGGAUAGCCUCGGGAAACCGGGAUUAAAACCUCAUAAUGCGGCACUGAGACAUCUCAGAGCCGCCAAAGAUUUAUCGGCAAGGGAUGGGCCUGCGUCUGAUUAGUUAGUUGGUGGGGUAACGGCCUACCAAGGCGACGAUCAGUAGCCGACCUGAGAGGGUGAUCGGCCACAUUGGAACUGAGACACGGUCCAAACUCCUACGGGAGGCAGCAGUGGAGAAUCUUGCACAAUGGGCGAAAGCCUGAAUGCAGCAACGCCGCGUGAAGGAUGAAGGCCCUUGGGUCGUAAACUUCUGUUCUAAGGGAAGAUAAUGACGGUACCUUAGGAGCAAGUCCCGGCUAACUACGUGCCAGCAGCCGC